RNAcentral lists this ribosomal RNA (409 nucleotides) under uncultured bacterium. RNAcentral describes it as "bacterial SSU rRNA". It matches the Rfam family "Bacterial small subunit ribosomal RNA", at positions 509 to 916 of the family's 1533-position model. The record is from RNAcentral.
CAGCAGCCGCGGUAAUACAGAGGUCUCAAGCGUUGUUCGGAUUCAUUGGGCGUAAAGGGUGCGUAGGUGGCGCCAUAAGUCGGGUGUGAAAUUUCGGAGCUUAACUCCGAAACUGCAUUUGAUACUGCCUUGCUUGAGGACUGGAGAGGAGACUGGAAUUCACGGUGUAGCAGUGAAAUGCGUAGAGAUCGUGAGGAAGACCAGUGGCGAAGGCGGGUCUCUGGACAGUUCCUGACACUGAGACACGAAGGCCAGGGGAGCAAACGGGAUUAGAUACCCCGGUAGUCCUGGCAGUAAACGGUGCACGUUUGGUGUGGGGGGAUUCGACCCCUUCCGCGCCGGAGCUAACGCGUUAAACGUGCCGCCUGGGGAGUACGGUCGCAAGAUUAAAACUCAAAGAAAUUGACGG